CCCAAUCGACGGCCAUGACGUCAUCAACGAUAGGUUUGGAGCUAGCAACGGCGCUGACGUGGGCGGGGUGCUCCGUGUAGGAGGUCAGGUCGGAUUUGGACCGGUAACGGGAGUGGAGCAUGUGGGUGAAGGGGAGAGGGUUGGACCGGCGACCGGAAACCGGACCGGUGGAGAUGUGGAGAACUGAGUCGAGGGAGAUGAGGCCGCUGAGGCUGCUCAUCAUGGCGUCGACGGCGGAGGGGUCGGCGUCGGGCUUGAGGUGAAAAAGCACGAUGUGUUCGAUGAUUUGGUUAGGGUUGGACUCUGAAUCGGAAGACGACAUUCCGAGCGGAUAAAGGCGGAGAUGGGGGGAAUCAACGGUGGUUUGUGGAUGAAAGCGGCGGUGAUGAAUGGAGGUGAACUCUGGUGAAGUGGGUGCGUGCGAGCCAAUCCCCAUCAUUAUUAUUUUAUGAUUUUAUCUGAAUCAAGUGGAUGCUGGUGUGGGUCAUCCUCACUAAUAUAUAAUUAUAUUAUUCAAUAGUGACUUCACUUGUUGCAAAUUUCUUCAACACCAAAGUGAAUUAUGAAAACCAGGGUUCAUCAUGCAAAUUGAAUACUAAUAGUUUUUAAUCAAUUAUUAAAAUUAGAAUGAACUAAAACAACACGUUUUCCUAUUUAUUUUAAUUUCUUAUUUUAUUCAAUUGUGCCCUUUUAUUUUCUUUCGUAUACCACGUGUACGUGUGUUUAUGUAGAUCUACAGUUUAAAAACACAUGGUGUAAUUCACUAAUUGUACGAUAUCUUAAGCCAAAGUUAAUGAAUUACAUAUUUGAAUUAUAGAGCUUCACCAUAAUUGUAUGUAUUUGUCACUUUGUUGUUACAUUAUUUUUCAAUGUAGAGUCAUCUCAAAUAUUCUCAUUUAUAAUUAUUUUAAAUUUAUUUGUUUCAAAUCUUUCAAUCCAAGCAAACGUUGCAUAAGAAAAGUGAAGGAGGAGAGGUAGGGGUGCACAACGUCAGUUUUUCACUUAAUAACCAGUGUAGGACACACUAACAUUGUGAUAAUUGAUAUACAGCGCGCCGAGCCCACCUCUCAAAUGCACAAGUAAAAACGGUCGAUUUUCACCACCAAAAGUUUGAAAACGGUGAACCAAACACUUCCUUGCAGAAUCCAUACAGAAAUCUAGAACAAAAAUUGAUGUGUAACGAAUAACGAUACGGCAUUCAGCACUCUUACGACUCAUUAACUCUAGAUCUCGUCACUCUCAUCUCAUUUCGUAUCCAGAGAAAAUUUCUUCAAGGGCCUGCCUUAAACACAUCGCAUCUGCCAAAAUCAACCCGAGAAAAGUAAACAACACAUGCAUAUCUAAUUCACCUCUAAUAGACGUCUCCAACUUACUAACCAAGAAAGGAAUCUGAAACAAGGAUCUUUAUUGAAUCUAAUUCCACACAGUAAACACUGAACUACCUUAGAAUGCAUGCUAUGGAAGAUGAAAAUCAUAUAAAAAAAAGAAAUCGUCCCAAAUUGGAUCCACGAGUCCAACGUUUCUGCCUAGUUUUGACUAAAACAUGAACCCCUUUCAGGACUUGAACUAAACCAACAAAUCGAAAGUUUAAAUCCUACCCAAUACAAUAUAAUCACUUCACUUUUCAACAAUAUACAGCAUAUAAUACGUGUUUCAUAAUGCUUUUCAAAAUCCUUUGUACGCCAAAUAACACAUAAAGGUAGAGACAGCACCCACAAACAAAUGCACGUUCACACGAACCGUGUGCAUGUAUACAGGGAGCAUUAGAAGAUAGGCUAUCCGCAAGUUAUGGCAAGUGGAACCAUUUAAAAUACCGAAACUGCCGUUAGCGAAUCUAGAAGAACACACGUCAACUCUCAUCUAUCAACUAUAAAAAUUAGAAAACCUGAUACAUUCUUACCCUCGAGCUAUAUAUAAUCAGUUAAUCACUCAUCAUUCUUGCUAAGAUUUAUCGGUCCGAGAUUGAAUACGAUUCAUAUUCCUUUUAGUGGUUCAAAAAUUAUCUUGAUUAGGUAAAGAUGGCAACAAUCAAGACUCUAAAAGAAUGGACGUAAUUUGUAAAGCGUAUUCAUCUCGAUUCUCAAUGAUAUCAAGAAAUUCCAAAACAAUGAUCCCAUGAAACAAAGAUUAGUGUUUUUGAACCUUCCUUUUAGCAUUCAAUCCGGCAAUCAAAAUCGAACUUUAAUUGUUCGAUUUUUCCCAUUCAGUGUGCCAUUGAUUUCAAGUCGAGUCGUUUGAUCUCAAGUACAUAACCAAUGUAAACAACAAAAUUAUUUCCAUUUACCUAGUUAACAAAUCCAAAAACCGUCCAACGAAAGACAUAAAAAGACAAUUUAACGAAAAUAUUCCGAUUACAUUGACCUUAAAUCACGCUUAGAGGGUAGCAGCUUGAACCGGUGCUGCAACGGCGUAAUCCAACACCAAAACACCGUCGAGAAACUCCCUGACCUUAUCCUUCUGCUCGUUCGCAAGCUCCGAUUGCGCGUCCAGCUCAUCCAAUUCAUUCCUGCCGUUGAAAACCGCAAUGGAGCAGAUCGAGAAACCCUUAGCCCUAGCCGGAGAAAAGUUCUCCCCAACAGUCAGCUGCUCAAUCGAAGGAAACUUCUCCCGAAUCCCCUUCAAAACCCCCAAAACCUCGCCUUUUCCACCCUCCCCUGCGCCUUCCUUCAAUUUCAAAAUCGUCAACCGCAAUGCCGAAUCGGGAGAAACAGCCGGCGAUCCGGAGAAGUCAUCGGCGAUCCAAUCGACGGCCAUGAUGUCAUCAACGAUGGGUUUGACGUAGCUGGUGACGACGCUGACGUGAGACGGGUGCUCCGAGUAGGAAACCAGGUCGGAUUUGGACCGGUAUCGGGAGUGGAGCAUGUG
This 2865-nucleotide long non-coding RNA is filed under the name Erythranthe guttata (spotted monkey flower). Its description in RNAcentral is "long non-coding RNA (EGUT_LNC002381)". The record is from RNAcentral. Lineage: Eukaryota; Viridiplantae; Streptophyta; Magnoliopsida; Lamiales; Phrymaceae.